GGCUCAGAAUGAACGCUGGCGGCGUGCCUAACACAUGCAAGUCGGAUGUGCCGCAAGGUGCAUGGCAGACGGGUGAGUAACGCGUGGGAAACCUACCUCUUUGUGGGGAAUAACGCUCCGAAAGGAGUGGUAAUACCGCAUGAGACCAUGAGCUGGGAUGCUCAUGGUGAAACCUGGGGACCGCAAGGCCUGGGGCAAGGAGAGGGUCCUGCGUCUGAUUAGCUAGUUGGUGGGGUAACGGCCUACCAAGGCGACGAUCAGUAGCCGGCCUGAGAGGGUGAUCGGCCACACUGGAACUGAGACACGGUCCAGACUCCUACGGGAGGCAGCAGUGGGGAAUUUUGCGCAAUGGGCGAAAGCCUGACGCAGCAACGCCGCGUGGGUGAUGAAGGUCUUCGGAUCGUAAAACCCUGUCGUCAGGGACGAAGGUUGUGGGUUGAAUAGGCCUGCAGCUUGACGGUACCUGGAGAGGAAGCCCCGGCUAACUCUGUGCCAGCAGCCGCGGUAAUACAGAGGGGGCAAGCGUUAUUCGGAAUUAUUGGGCGUAAAGGGCGCGUAGGCGGUUUUUUAAGUGAGAUGUGCAAUCCCCGAGCUUAACUUGGGAACUGCAUCUCAGACUGGAAGGCUAGAGUGCUGGAGAGGGUGGUAGAAUUCCACGUGUAGCGGUGAAAUGCGUAGAGAUGUGGAGGAAUACCAGUGGCGAAGGCGGCCACCUGGACAGUAACUGACGCUGAGGCGCGAAAGUGUGGGUAGCAAACAGGAUUAGAUACCCUGGUAGUCCACGCUGUAAACGAUGAACACUUGGUGUGGUGGGAGUUGACCCCUGCCGUGCCGUAGCUAACGCGAUAAGUGUUCCGCCUGGGGAGUACGGUCGC
RNAcentral lists this ribosomal RNA (875 nucleotides) under uncultured bacterium. Its description in RNAcentral is "bacterial SSU rRNA". It matches the Rfam family "Bacterial small subunit ribosomal RNA", at positions 21 to 889 of the family's 1533-position model. The record is from RNAcentral.